GGGAGGUAGUGACAAUAAAUAACAAUACGGGGUUCUUUCGGAUCUCGUAAUUGGAAUGAGUACAAUUUAAAUCUCCUAACGAGGAACAAUUGGAGGGCAAGUCUGGUGCCAGCAGCCGCGGUAAUUCCAGCUCCAAUAGCGUAUAUUAAAGUUGUUGCAGUUAAAAAGCUCGUAGUUGAAUUUCGGGGUUAGCAGGUUGGUCGUGCCACUGGUAUGCACUGGCCUUGCUGAUUCCUCCCUCUUGAUGAGCCGUAAUGUCAUUAAUUUGGUGUUACGGGGAAUUAGGACUGUUACCUU
Molecule: ribosomal RNA, 297 nt
Filed under: uncultured Glomeraceae
Lineage: Eukaryota; Fungi; Glomeromycota; Glomeromycetes; Glomerales; Glomeraceae
Description: partial 18S ribosomal RNA
Rfam family: Eukaryotic small subunit ribosomal RNA
Source: RNAcentral